Molecule: long non-coding RNA, 817 nt
Filed under: Homo sapiens (human)
Lineage: Eukaryota; Metazoa; Chordata; Mammalia; Primates; Hominidae
Description: novel transcript
Source: RNAcentral
GGCGACUUGGCGGCGGGUGCCAUGCGUCUGGAGCUUCACAUUCUCUGCCCCCCACCCACCGCGCCGGCGCUCCCUUGUCACGCCUCGGGAAGCGCGCACCUGCCAAGCAGACAAGGUCACUCUGUCGCCGGAGGGCAGUGGCAUGAUCAUAGGUCACUGUAACCUGGAACUCCUGGGUUCAGGCAAUCUUCCCACUUCAGCUUCCUGAGUAGCUAGAAUUACAGGAUGAAUAAUCUGAUAUCAUGUGAAAUGAGGAAAUAAGAAGCUUUCUGCUGACUUCAUUUUGACCCAGGGUCCAAAAGGUGAUGUAAUCCUGUGGCAAGAAGAUUCAAAACUGUGGACUAUCUUGCAAAAAAUACAAGAAGAUAUUGAAAGUUUUCAUGAGUGCCUACCACCUAAUCUCAAACACUAUCAUUCAUAUGUGCCUCAUUGAGCAAAUCUUUAAUGAGGAUCUAUAUGCCAGCAAUAUCUUUUGCUUGGGAGCAGAAACAGAAAGUACAUGAUGGACUUCAUUGAAGGAUGGAGAUUUGGAAGACAUGAAUGGAUGAAGAACCAAGUGCGUGAGGGCACCUAUCAGGAUUAUUGCUGAAAUCCUUAUGGAGUUAACUGGCUGAGAGGAAGUAGAGAUGGGGUUUCACCAUGUUGCCCAGGCUGGUCUCAAACUCCUGAGCUCAGGCCAUCUGCCCGCCUCGGCCUCCCAAAGUGCUAGGAUUACAGGUGCCUGCUUCCCCUUCACCUUCCACCAUGAUUGUAAGUUUCCUGAGGCCUCCCCAGACAUGUGGAACUGUGAGUCAAUUAAAUCUCUUUUCUUUAUAAA